CAAGCCCAUAUAAUUCAUUAAUUUCACAUUUUAUUCCCUCAAAUUAUUAUUUUUGCAAUUAAGUCCUAAUUACUCAAAAUCGUCAAAAACUCCAAUACAAAAUAUGUUAAUCUAAAACAUAUAUUUCAUUUUUCAUUAUCAAACAACAAAAAUCACAAGCUAUCAACAAUGGCACAACUCAAAAUAUUCAUCAAAAUCAAAAAUUAAAGCUUGGGUUUUGUAGUGCUCGAAGCAACGAUCUCAAAAACGUAGAAAUUAUCAAAAACCGAGUUAAACUUAUACGUUAAUUAAGCUUCAAAUUGG
Molecule: long non-coding RNA, 303 nt
Filed under: Gossypium barbadense (sea-island cotton)
Lineage: Eukaryota; Viridiplantae; Streptophyta; Magnoliopsida; Malvales; Malvaceae
Description: long non-coding RNA (GBAR_LNC010442)
Source: RNAcentral